Long non-coding RNA from Pyrus x bretschneideri (Chinese white pear), 1285 nucleotides. RefSeq lists it as uncharacterized. The record is from RefSeq and is a predicted model, not a curated record. The transcript has 3 exons. Lineage: Eukaryota; Viridiplantae; Streptophyta; Magnoliopsida; Rosales; Rosaceae.
UUGAUUGAACAACUGUGUGAUUGUUGAAGAUGGGAAGGUCAUAGCCUCGGGAAGAAAUCGAACUAAUGAGACACGAAAUGCUACAAGGCACGCAGAGAUGGAAGCCUUUGAUACUCUUCUUGAGCAGUGGAGAGAACAUAGGCUUUCAAAGUUAGAAGUUGCCAAAAAGUUUUCAAAAUGUAAACUCAUGUUACAUGCGAGCCAUGCAUAAUGUGUGCAGUGGCUUUAUCAUUUAUUGGAAUAAAGGAAGUAUUUUAUGGUUGUGCCAAUGACAAAUUUGGUGGGUGUGGAUUAGUAUUGUCGUUGCACUUAAGUAGCUCUGAGCCACAAACGAGGUUUAUUUCUGAACCCACAUCACAAGCAAAAUUUGAGUCAGUUUUUGUAGUGUUUUCCCUAGUCAUUAUUUUCUCUUGGAAAUCUUUUACCAACUGUUACCUUGUUUUGAUGUACCUUUCUAAGAAACAGUUCUUGGUCCAAAAAUUGUAGGGAACUACAUAAGUAUCUUUACCUACUGUGAAUGGACAGAUACACGCACCACAAGAUUCAUAUAUGAAAUGCAUUUUAUGCAUAUAUGCACAUAAUUUCCAUCUUCAAUUUAAUAUGACAAAACAUGAAAUCUCUUCACUAAUGAUGGUGUGUUGAGAAUGUCUGAUGAUAUCUUUUCGUUAUCAAUAUUAUGCCGAGUUUUAUUGGAGGAAUGUGCCGAUGAGAGGAGUUCGAGUUUAGGCCUUAAAAUUUUUCUUAUGGUUGAUUGUUUCCUCCAUAUUUAGUGGUAGGAUGUCUGCACCUAAUUAGUGGAUUCUUGAUGAGUUAAUCAAUACGUUCACCUUGUUAGAUAGCACAAACAAUCCUACCAUAUAGAAAGAGGAUGUUGCCUAUCAUAGACUUGGCUGUAAGAGGUGAACUGGAAGUUUUUUUUUUUUUUUUUUUUUUUUUUUUGUGAUUCCUUAGUUGUGUUAGGAUUUUUGGCUUGUCAAAUAUGUCCUAGUCGGUUUGGGUUUGUUUUAGGAAAAUUAGAUGAAUGUCGAUUCUUGUCCUAGAGGGAUUAGGAAAGAAUUUCAGUUUUCCUUAUUCAAUUUAGGUUUGGAUUUCUAGAAGUCUAUUUGGAUUUGGAUAAGUGUAAUUUCCUAAUCCACUUCGAAAUAGGAAUUCAAUCAACCUUGGGACAUGUAAGCCUGCCCUAUGCCUAUAAAUAGGGUGCGGUAAGGCUUAAUUUUUAGAGAGAAAACAGCCAGAGACAGCCGAGAGUGAGAUUAGUUCUAGGGUUUGCAAAAGUUCUGUAAUC